This 492-nucleotide ribosomal RNA is filed under the name uncultured bacterium. Its description in RNAcentral is "partial 16S ribosomal RNA". It matches the Rfam family "Bacterial small subunit ribosomal RNA", at positions 29 to 507 of the family's 1533-position model. The record is from RNAcentral.
AGUGAACGCUGGCGGUAGGCUUAACACAUGCAAGUCGAACGGCAGCACAGUAAGAGCUUGCUCUUACGGGUGGCGAGUGGCGGACGGGUGAGGAAUACAUCGGAAUCUACUUUUUCGUGGGGGUUAACGUAGGGAAACUUACGCUAAUACCGCAUACGACCUACGGGUGAAAGCAGGGGAUCUUCGGACCUUGCGCGAUUGAAUGAGCCGAUGUCGGAUUAGCUAGUUGGCGGGGUAAAGGCCCACCAAGGCGACGAUCCGUAGCUGGUCUGAGAGGAUGAUCAGCCACACUGGAACUGAGACACGGUCCAGACUCCUACGGGAGGCAGCAGUGGGGAAUAUUGGACAAUGGGCGCAAGCCUGAUCCAGCCAUACCGCGUGGGUGAAGAAGGCCUUCGGGUUGUAAAGCCCUUUUGUUGGGAAAGAAAAGCAGCAGGUUAAUACCCCGCUGUUCUGACGGUACCCAAAGAAUAAGCACCGGCUAACUUCGUG